This 267-nucleotide long non-coding RNA is filed under the name Ricinus communis (castor bean). Its description in RNAcentral is "long non-coding RNA (RCOM_LNC001478)". The record is from RNAcentral. Lineage: Eukaryota; Viridiplantae; Streptophyta; Magnoliopsida; Malpighiales; Euphorbiaceae.
AGAAAAGAAGGAAGAACAAGAACAAGAAGAAGGAGAAAAGGGAGCUCGGGGUCGGCCUUUAAUGGCAGAUGGGAGGUGCGUCUAUUUGAGGCACGGCGAAGCUAACCGGAGAUGCAGCUUGCAUCGGCAAGCUCAGGGGUGGUGACGAUGGCAGCAGUUGGGAACAUCGGCAGGAGAUGAAAAGAAAAGAAAAGAAAUCAGUAGCUUUUUGGACGCCGUUCAUGGCGUUUCCAGCGUCAGUAGCCACUAUUUUUGGUGGCAAACGAC